Cucumis melo (muskmelon) is the source of this 177-nucleotide long non-coding RNA. RefSeq lists it as uncharacterized. Lineage: Eukaryota; Viridiplantae; Streptophyta; Magnoliopsida; Cucurbitales; Cucurbitaceae. The record is from RefSeq and is a predicted model, not a curated record. The transcript is spliced from 3 exons.
GUCCAGUCGAUUGCAUCCAUUGGACUUCAGCUGCACAAUUAUCUCUGCUCGAAGAUGAAAUCCGCAGGGUCGAAAGAGUGAACGUUGCAUUUAUGCUGUCCGGAAUGGGAUCAUCAGCUGUGGAUGUUUUUAGAUUGGCAAGUUCUCGAUGGGAAAAGAGGUAAGCAAAAGUCUUGG